This 253-nucleotide ribosomal RNA is filed under the name uncultured bacterium. Its description in RNAcentral is "partial 16S ribosomal RNA". It matches the Rfam family "Bacterial small subunit ribosomal RNA", at positions 524 to 776 of the family's 1533-position model. The record is from RNAcentral.
UACGAAGGGUGCAAGCGUUACUCGGAAUUACUGGGCGUAAAGCGUGCGUAGGUGGUCUGCUAAGUCUGAUGUGAAAGCCCUGGGCUCAACCUGGGAAUGGCAUUGGAAACUGGCGGGCUAGAGUGCGGUAGAGGGUAGUGGAAUUCCCGGUGUAGCAGUGAAAUGCGUAGAGAUCGGGAGGAACAUUCGUGGCGAAGGCGGCUACCUGGACCAGCACUGACACUGAGGCACGAAAGCGUGGGGAGCAAACAGG